UACGGGGGGAGCAAGCGUUGUUCGGAUUUACUGGGCGUAAAGGGCGCGUAGGCGGCGCAACAAGUCACUUGUGAAAUCUCCGGGCUUAACCCGGAGCGGCCAAGUGAUACUGUCGUGCUAGAGUGCGGAAGGGGCUACUGGAAUUCUCGGUGUAGCGGUGAAAUGCGUAGAUAUCGAGAGGAACACCGAUGGCGAAGGCAGUGUUCUGGGCCAGUACUGACGCUGAGGAGCGAAAGCGUGGGGAGCAAACAGG
RNAcentral lists this ribosomal RNA (253 nucleotides) under uncultured bacterium. RNAcentral describes it as "partial 16S ribosomal RNA". It matches the Rfam family "Bacterial small subunit ribosomal RNA", at positions 524 to 776 of the family's 1533-position model. The record is from RNAcentral.